GAAUCUAUAAACAUGGAACCCAUGGACGCUGAACUCAUGGAUACAGAGGGCAGGCUGUAUUUACCAUAUUGCAUUACAAAGAGGAAUCCCAGGUUCCCACAUACAUCAAGCAACAAAAUGAAGUUUCUCCACAAGAAGAAUUAAGCCCCCUUCUCAGUAGCAGAGUCCAGUGCCUUGCAGAGCCUGAAGCCUGGGGAGAAGGCCCAGCCUGGGACCCUCUGGGCUGCUGUGGCUCCUCUGCCUCCACAGAUCCCAUCCUCCAAGCCAGCCCACCUCUGCCUUCAUCAUAUCCCAGGAUACUGUUUGUAAAUAAUCUGCUGUAAGCUUUCUUAACUGUUUUUGUAACAAGCAAAGAGAAUAUGGUAA
Molecule: small RNA, 366 nt
Filed under: Pongo abelii (Sumatran orangutan)
Lineage: Eukaryota; Metazoa; Chordata; Mammalia; Primates; Hominidae
Description: processed transcript
Source: RNAcentral